This is a long non-coding RNA of Epinephelus fuscoguttatus (brown-marbled grouper), 3745 nucleotides long. RefSeq lists it as uncharacterized. The transcript is spliced from 3 exons. The record is from RefSeq and is a predicted model, not a curated record. NCBI's taxonomy places the organism in Eukaryota, Metazoa, Chordata, Actinopteri, Perciformes, Serranidae.
AUCACCAAAUUAGGUUUGUGGUCUUUAAACCUGGUCAUAUUACGAGUAUAAAUCUAAAAAUUAUCAUUGAUUUUAGAAAAAAAGCAACAGUGUUCAUCCUGCCAGCCACAAUCAAAGGUCAGAAGACUGAGUGGUUGAUUUCCUGCCAAAAUUAAAUGUAUUGUGCCCGUGUUUUUAAUGUCCUUCACCAAGGCAUUUCUCUUUCUCUUAAAUGUUCAUGACAAGAUAAAACAAACAAUAACACAGGGAUAAAAAAGGGGUAAUCUUUGAGCAGAUGCAGUGCAAAGCCAGUUGCAUUGUGGCUGGUCAAGGUUUAGCUUUUAUCAUUGAAGCAAACAUACAGUCAGGUCCAUAAUUAUUUGGACAAUGAUACAGUUGUCAUCAUUUUGGCUCUGUACACCACCACAAUGGGUUUUAAAUGAAACAAUGAAUACCUGCUUAAAGUGCAGACUCUCAGCUUUCAUUUAAGGCUUUUUUUUUUUCAAAAAUGUAGUAUGAACCGUGUAGGAAUUACAACCAUUUCUUCACACAGUCCCCCGACUUUAAGGGCUCAUAAGUAUUUGGACAAACUAACAUAAUCAUCAAUUAAACAGUCAGUUUUAAUACUUGGUUGCAAAUCCUUUGCAGUCAAUGACUGCCUGAAGUGUUGGACACAUAGACAUCACCAGAUGCUGGGUUUCUUCCCUGGUGAUGCUCUGCCAGCCCUUUCCUGCAGCCGUCUGCACUUCCUGCUUGUGUUUUGGGUGUUUUGCCCUCAGUUUUGGCUUCAGCAAGAGAAACGCAUGCUCAAUUGGAUUCAGGUCAGAUGAUAUGACUUGGCCAUUGCAGAACAUUCCACUUCUUUGCCUUAAAAAUGUCUUUGGUUGCUUUUGCAGUAUGCUUCAGGUCAAUGUCCAUCUGCACUGUGAAGCAUCGUCCAGUGAGUUUUGAAGCAUUUAGUUGAAUCUGAGCAGAUAAUGGUGCCCCAAACACUUCAGCUUUCAUCCUGCUGCUCUUGUAAGCAAGACAAGACUUCACUAGAAUAAAUACAGAGGGUUUAUCACAAGAUGCAAACCAUUGGUUAGCCUUAGAAAUGGAAGGCCAGAUUAGAGUUUGUCAAAAACCGUCUAAAAAGCCUGUACAGUUGUGGAACAGCAUACUAUGGACAGAUAAAACAAAGAUCAACUACCAGAAUGAUGGGAAGACAAGAGAAGGAAGAAGGGAAGGAACUGCUCAUGAUCCAAAGCACACCACCUCAUCAGUGAAGCAUGGUGGAGGUACUGUUAUGUCAUGGCCAUGCAUGGCUGCCAGUGGAACUGGUUCUCUUGUAUUUAUUGAUGAUGUGACUGCUGACAAGAGCAGCAGGAUGAAAGCUGAAGUGUUUUCAUUGUUUCAUUUAAAACCCAUUGUGGUGGUGUACAGAGCCAAAAUGAUGACAACUGUAUCAUUGUCCAAAUAAUUAUGGACCUGACUGUACACUGAGUAAUACAUAAAUAGUUAUAAUUAAAUAAUUUAUUAAAACAGAUUCUAUGACAAAUUUGUUUAUUUUUAUUUGAUUUUACUUGUCUUUUAAUUAUUUUAUUUAAAUCAUUUAAAUUUUACGUUACGUUUUUUUCACAACAGUGAAGCAGUCACUACCCCCUCACCUGUCAACCAAUCACGUGCCUCCAAACGGCUCAUUAACGGCUAGUUAGCUAGCUAGCUCCGAAGCAAUAAAAAAGAUAAAAGCCUCUUUUUGCUGUUUACAAAGCAGUUUCUUUCUCCAAGGGACAUCCUCCGAGUCACAAAGCUGCCGAGGUAAUUGAAUUUAAAAGCCAGCCUCUGUCAUUAACACCAACUUUCACUUAAAUGCCAAAUAAAAGAGGCUAAAUAGCGGGCUAGCUAGAUAGCGUCUGUGGCCUUGUCAAGCCAGGUAAGGCAUUGUUUUGGCAGUAGCUAACAAGAGCUAGCUGGCAAAAUGUGGUAGUAGCUAAGUGAUGAAUCUAGACGUUGGGUAUUUUAAAACAGUAAUUUCUGUAAUUAACAUUAUAUGUAAAUACUCUACAACCCUGCUGACCUUACAAUGAAAAAAAGUGAAUUAUAAUGAGGCAAGUUUGUAUUAUUAUUCAAGCUAUUUCCCCAUUUAUUGGUUCCGCUAUGUAUUGGUUCAUUAGGCUAUCUGUUUAAUCAUGUCUCAUUUAUACUUUUAUUUGAUAACUUGUGGUAUCCAGCCUUGCAAAUAUGGUAGUUUCAGUUUUACCUAAUGAUCAUUUUAAGAUAACUAAGAUUUUUGCUGCCAGCCAGACACAAUGGAGUUUGCAUCUGUUUGUGGUGCUUGUAGCAAAAUUAAAUUUAACAAACCUCUGGCCUCUUUGGGCAGACUUUUGUUUACUGCAGGGGUGUCCAACUCAUUUUAACUUGGGGGCCACAUGCAGCAGUUUGACUCCAAGUGGGCCUGGCCAAUACACCAUUGCAUAAUAACCUAUAAAUAUCAACACAGCCAAGUUUUUCUCUUUCUUGUAGUGUAAAGAAGUACAGUGAUAUUCUGAAAACAUUCACAAAACAGAUGAUGACCAGCCAGAGAAAAAUAAGGUUAAUGUUAAAAAAAACAUAUCUCAGUUUUUCCUCCUUCGGUCAGUCUGCUAUUUUUCCAUAAAUCACCACACCAAACUUCAGUGGAAGCUAUUGAGGAAGAAGAUGAAGUCAUCACCUGCCUCACAAAUCAUUUACAAAUCUAAAGCUUUGACAGUGCCAUAGAAAUACGACUCCUCCAAUACUGUUUUAAGAUAGAAGUCUGAUACUGAUUUUUUUUUUUUUUUUUUUUUACUGAAGCUGCUAAAUGACAAUAUUUUUGCACAAAGUUCAAUAUUUUUAAAUAAAGCAUGAUGAGCAUGCAUUGGUUUUUUUUUCUUCAGAGAGCUGGAGUCUGGUCAGUGUGGAAAAGCCUCUGAAGUAGCAUUUUACAUGAGGUAGUUACUCCCUGUUGAACUUGCUCCUGAAACCUGGCACCUCAUAGAAAGAGCAUCAAAAUAAGGUGUCGAAAGUCAUCCUGUGAGCCAAGUGGACCCUUUGGCGAGCAGGUUCUGGCCCACGGGCUGUAUGUUUAACACCUGUGGUUUGCAACAGAGUCUGAAACUGUUUGACUACUUUUUCAAUGCUUUUAAGGUGAUACUUCUUAUUGUGUCAAACUAUCAGCGUCAUUUACAGGGAUGUGUUCUACAUACUAGGUGGCAGUGGUUUUGUUGUAACCACACUUUUUGUUGUUGCAUCUUUACAUUUUGCCUUGUGUAGCAAUCAGAAAUUUAUAACAUCAGUGAAUUAAAUGUUAUGUAUAUACUGAGACAACUCUAUCAUUUUUUUUUAUUCACAGCUACUCAGUUUUCCAACCCAUGGUUUUCACCAAAAAAGAGGCAAAGGUGAGGUGUGAAAUCUCUUGAAGUCUGACCCCAAAUAGUUAAUAGAAAUCAUAGAAAGUAACCAGUUUUACUUUUCUUUCUUAGAUGGGACUCUCCACAGACCAAAAGCUCAGAGAAAAGAGGAACUUUAAGAAAUCCAUCCCCCUCCACCAUCGUGGAGGAUCUACAAAUCCCUUAAAUUUACAUCAAGGACAUGAGGAGAGAGGAGACUUCAGGAGGAGCUUUUUCUUGCAUGCAAGAAACACAUCCUCGCUGGGAGUAGCCAAGACGUGAAGAAGAAAUGUCGGGGUUGGAGAAUGCUGUCGCUUGUCACUGGGCCCAGUAGAUUCAUGAUCGCACAGCCUGACACCCACAGCAGUGUCCCUAAUGAC